UCGAACGAGGUCCAGCCGAGCCUUCGGGCAAAGCGAAGAUCUAGUGGCGAACGGGUGCGUAACACGUGAGGAACCUGCCCCGGACUUGGGAAUAACAGUCGGAAACGGCUGCUAAUACCGAAUAUCUCCGUAGCGUCGCAUGGCGCAUCGAAGAAAGCUUUUGCGGUCUGGGAGGGCCUCGCGGCCUAUCAGCUUGUUGGCGAGGUAACGGCUCACCAAGGCAUCGACGGGUAGCUGGUCUGAGAGGAUGAUCAGCCACACUGGGACUGAGACACGGCCCAGACUCCUACGGGAGGCAGCAGUGGGGAAUAUUGCACAAUGGGCGAAAGCCUGAUGCAGCAACGCCGCGUGCGGGAAGAAGGCCUUAGGGUUGUAAACCGCUUUCAGCAGGGAAGAAACUGACGGUACCUGCAGAAGAAGGUGCGGCCAACUACGUGCCAGCAGCCGCGGUGACACGUAGGCACCAAGCGUUG
This 473-nucleotide ribosomal RNA is filed under the name uncultured bacterium. RNAcentral's name for it is "bacterial SSU rRNA". It matches the Rfam family "Bacterial small subunit ribosomal RNA", at positions 62 to 543 of the family's 1533-position model. The record is from RNAcentral.